UCCCCGGUGGUUCAGAGGUUAAGAUUCUGCGCUCCCAACGCAGGGGGCCAAGGUUCGAUCCCUGGUCAAGGAA
This 73-nucleotide transfer RNA is filed under the name Bos taurus (domestic cattle). It matches the Rfam family "tRNA". Rfam says of the family: Transfer RNA (tRNA) molecules are approximately 80 nucleotides in length. Their secondary structure includes four short double-helical elements and three loops (D, anti-codon, and T loops). RNAcentral also lists the same sequence under 3 other names. Lineage: Eukaryota; Metazoa; Chordata; Mammalia; Artiodactyla; Bovidae. The record is from Rfam by way of RNAcentral.